RNAcentral lists this ribosomal RNA (800 nucleotides) under Macrococcoides caseolyticum. RNAcentral's name for it is "bacterial SSU rRNA". It matches the Rfam family "Bacterial small subunit ribosomal RNA", at positions 61 to 840 of the family's 1533-position model. The record is from RNAcentral. Lineage: Bacteria; Bacillati; Bacillota; Bacilli; Caryophanales; Staphylococcaceae.
GUCGAGCGAACGGACGAGAGUGCUUGCACUCUCUGAUGUUAGCGGCGGACGGGUGAGUAACACGUGGGUAACCUACCUAUAAGACUGGGAUAACUUCGGGAAACCGGAGCUAAUACCGGAUAAUAUUUAGCUUCGCAUGAAGCAAUAGUGAAAGACGGUUCUGCUGUCACUUAUAGAUGGACCCGCGGUGUAUUAGCUAGUUGGUGAGGUAACGGCUCACCAAGGCAACGAUACAUAGCCGACCUGAGAGGGUGAUCGGCCACACUGGGACUGAGACACGGCCCAGACUCCUACGGGAGGCAGCAGUAGGGAAUCUUCCGCAAUGGACGAAAGUCUGACGGAGCAACGCCGCGUGAGUGAAGAAGGUUUUCGGAUCGUAAAACUCUGUUGUAAGGGAAGAACAAGUACGUUAGUAACUGAACGUACCUUGACGGUACCUUACCAGAAAGCCACGGCUAACUACGUGCCAGCAGCCGCGGUAAUACGUAGGUGGCAAGCGUUAUCCGGAAUUAUUGGGCGUAAAGCGCGCGUAGGCGGUCUCUUAAGUCUGAUGUGAAAGCCCCCGGCUCAACCGGGGAGGGUCAUUGGAAACUGGGAGACUUGAGUGCAGAAGAGGAGAGUGGAAUUCCAUGUGUAGCGGUGAAAUGCGCAGAGAUAUGGAGGAACACCAGUGGCGAAGGCGGCUCUCUGGUCUGUAACUGACGCUGAGGUGCGAAAGCGUGGGGAUCAAACAGGAUUAGAUACCCUGGUAGUCCACGCCGUAAACGAUGAGUGCUAAGUGUUGGGGGGUUUCCGCCCCU